This 253-nucleotide ribosomal RNA is filed under the name uncultured bacterium. RNAcentral describes it as "partial 16S ribosomal RNA". It matches the Rfam family "Bacterial small subunit ribosomal RNA", at positions 524 to 776 of the family's 1533-position model. The record is from RNAcentral.
CACGGGGGGAGCAAGCGUUGUUCGGAAUCACUGGGCGUAAAGGGCGUGUAGGCGGUCAGGCAGGUCGGUUGUGAAAACUGGAGGCUCAACCUUCAGAGGUCGACCGAAACCCCCUGGCUAGAGUCCGGGAGAGGAGAGUGGAAUUCCUGGUGUAGCGGUGAAAUGCGCAGAUAUCAGGAAGAACACCCGUGGCGAAAGCGGCUCUCUGGAACGGUACUGACGCUGAGACGCGAAAGCGUGGGGAGCGAACAGG